RNAcentral lists this ribosomal RNA (117 nucleotides) under uncultured bacterium 246. The record is from RNAcentral.
CUCGGUGACUUUGCCGGAGGGGUCACACCCGUUCCCAUCCCGAACACGGAAGUUAAGCCCUCCAAGGCCGAUGGUACUGCAUUGGUAACGAUGUGGGAGAGUAGGUCGUUGCCGGGA